This 464-nucleotide ribosomal RNA is filed under the name Vreelandella stevensii. Its description in RNAcentral is "partial 16S ribosomal RNA". It matches the Rfam family "Bacterial small subunit ribosomal RNA", at positions 338 to 794 of the family's 1533-position model. The record is from RNAcentral. Lineage: Bacteria; Pseudomonadati; Pseudomonadota; Gammaproteobacteria; Oceanospirillales; Halomonadaceae.
CCUACGGGUGGCAGCAGUGGGGAAUAUUGGACAAUGGGCGAAAGCCUGAUCCAGCCAUGCCGCGUGUGUGAAGAAGGCCUUCGGGUUGUAAAGCACUUUCAGUGGGGAAGAAAGCCUUGGGGCUAAUACCCUCGAGGAAGGACAUCACCCACAGAAGAAGCACCGGCUAACUCCGUGCCAGCAGCCGCGGUAAUACGGAGGGUGCGAGCGUUAAUCGGAAUUACUGGGCGUAAAGCGCGCGUAGGCGGUCUGAUAAGCCGGUUGUGAAAGCCCCGGGCUCAACCUGGGAACGGCAUCCGGAACUGUCAGGCUAGAGGGCAGGAGAGGAAGGUAGAAUUCCCGGUGUAGCGGUGAAAUGCGUAGAGAUCGGGAGGAAUACCAGUGGCGAAGGCGGCCUUCUGGACUGACACUGACGCUGAGGUGCGAAAGCGUGGGUAGCAAACAGGAUUAGAUACCCGAGUAGU